This 521-nucleotide ribosomal RNA is filed under the name Hortaea werneckii. RNAcentral's name for it is "LSU rRNA". It matches the Rfam family "Eukaryotic large subunit ribosomal RNA", at positions 86 to 634 of the family's 3401-position model. The record is from RNAcentral. Lineage: Eukaryota; Fungi; Ascomycota; Dothideomycetes; Mycosphaerellales; Teratosphaeriaceae.
ACGGCGAGUGAAGCGGCAACAGCUCAAAUUUGAAAUCUGGCGCAAGCCCGAGUUGUAAUUUGUAGAGGAUGCUUCUGGGCAGCGGCCGGUCUAAGUUCCUUGGAACAGGACGUCAUAGAGGGUGAGAAUCCCGUAUGCGACCGGCUUGCACCCGUCACGUAGCUCCUUCGACGAGUCGAGUUGUUUGGGAAUGCAGCUCUAAAUGGGAGGUAAAUUUCUUCUAAGGCUAAAUACCGGCCAGAGACCGAUAGCGCACAAGUAGAGUGAUCGAAAGAUGAAAAGCACUUUGGAAAGAGAGUUAAAAAGCACGUGAAAUUGUUGAAAGGGAAGCUCACGCAACCAGACUUGUCGGCGGUGUUCCGCCGGUCUUCUGACCGGUCUACUCGCCGCCGGCAGGCCAGCAUCACUUGGGAGCGCCGGAUAAAGGCGUGCGGAAUGUAGCCCCUCGGGGCAUUAUAGCCGCGCGUACAAUACGGCGCCUCCCGAGUGAGGUCCGCGCUUCGGCUAGGAUGCUGGCGUAA